UACUCUGUUCCAGGAUACCGUUGCAGUUGCUUGGUUCAUGAUGAAUGAGUUACCUUGCAUGAUAAUGCUUGCUACGCGAAUUAUUAUGUUCAAGUGCUUGUGCAAAUAAACAAAGAAUUAUACUUCUCUUCCUCUCUGCUGUUGGCCACGCCGGCCAUGGCCCUCGAAUCCGACGCCUGCAUCUACCGGACACAUCCGCUAUUCCAGUAAAGGAUUUGAUGUGCUAAAACAAUAAUGUGGAGAUAAGUCAUAUGUCUGAUGGAAAAUAUAGCUAUAGCUAUUUUUUGUUUGUUUUAUCAGUAUCAUUUUAGGCUUCAGUUAGCUGAAAAAGAUAAUACAACGAGCAAUUUUCUACCAUGUGAUUAUAGCAUUGAUGUCAUAAUGAGCGGGAUGUCUCUUGUGUACUAUGAAGAAUGCUACUUAUAUACUUGAUUUCUUCGAUUUCAGUGGUGGUGGUAUGCUUAUCAUUUCUCCUUAUCAUUUCAGGCUUCGGCAACGACGAGCAUGGCCAAGCUAGACACCAGAAGAGUAUUGCAUACUCAGCUACUCCAAUCGUUUGGGCCUUUGGGGAUGGUGGACUCGAUUGCUGAAUCAAUGGUGCCAUGUCAUGCCCCCUAUAUUACCUUUGCCCAAAUCAAAGUGCAUAUAUUUCCACGAGUUAUAGGGGGUAUGGCUGGGACGGUGAUGGAGGAGCAGUGACGAGCCAAAUGGCCAUGGCGCCGCUCGCUGGAGCACAUCAACAUCUCGUCGCUCGUCAAUAUUACUUAUCCAUGUGAUGACAUGCCCUCGCUCGCUGAUCUGGAGCUUCAACCAUCUCAUGGAGGACGCCGUCUGGUAGAUGUCCUCGCGAAGCCCGCUAUGCCACCUCCAGCACUAGGAGAUGAGGCGGCCCGCAGGUCCGGCCUCCUCAUAUCCCUCGUCACCAUCUGCGCACUCGUGGCGGCGCACAUCGCCCACCAGAAGGACUGCAGGCCCGUCGACUUUGUGCAUGGCGUCAUCCUCGUCAAACACAAUGCCCGCAACCUGCUACUGUCGCCGAGGUUUCUUCUUAUGUUUCUUGGCAGCUUGUAGCCUUUGAGGUUUUCCUAUGGAUUUGAAUAUCUCAGUCAUCGGGUGUUCAUUUGGGCUUAUUGGCUGUACUCAUUUUGGUUGGUUCCCUUUUGUUUUUGCUGCAGAGAGUGUAUGUUUCAUAGUGGUGUGAAAGGGUUGAGCAACGAAUGAGGUUUUUUUAGUCCUAGGUCGGGACUAAGAUUCUAGAAUUUUCUUUUCAUAAUACUGCAUGAUUUUAAUACUUCAAGGACAUAUGAAUAGUAUGGUUUCUCUCUCUCCCAGAUUUCUUACUACCGAGAAUGCUUUUGAUUGCAUUGUCAUUUGUUUUAUUGAGCUCUAAAUUAAAAUAAUAUUGUAUUAAACUAUUCGUUGCAUAGCAUUAGCCCACCCUUUGUUCAUACCUUGUAUAAAGGUUGGUUCUGUGCUUUUUUGUGUUCAUGCCAACAUUUUG
Molecule: non-coding RNA, 1501 nt
Organism: Lolium perenne
Lineage: Eukaryota; Viridiplantae; Streptophyta; Magnoliopsida; Poales; Poaceae
Source: RefSeq, a predicted model, not a curated record